UGAAUUUUUUUUUUAAACGAAAACUCAAAAUUUUACCAUGAAUGAAAAUCACACACUAAAGAAGCUCGUCUUUGCUCGUAUAAGCAUCAUCAUUUUAUGGUAACAUCAUACAAAGAAGUCAUUACUGCAUAUCCUUCAAACUUAAGUAUGAUUUCAAUAAAGUCAUUGACAAAUGCCAACGGUUAAAGAGCAUACGAAAAUCUCAUAAGAAAAACUGGCAAAUCAUGUAUGACGUUUCAUAUUAAAAUUAAGGAGAGCAAGAGUAGAACUUACAUUGUCCUGAUCAGCAUCUCUGA
RNAcentral lists this unclassified non-coding RNA (296 nucleotides) under Hevea brasiliensis (rubber tree). The record is from RNAcentral. Lineage: Eukaryota; Viridiplantae; Streptophyta; Magnoliopsida; Malpighiales; Euphorbiaceae.